Molecule: long non-coding RNA, 484 nt
Filed under: Phoenix dactylifera (date palm)
Lineage: Eukaryota; Viridiplantae; Streptophyta; Magnoliopsida; Arecales; Arecaceae
Description: long non-coding RNA (PDAC_LNC006995)
Source: RNAcentral
CAUUUUCUGUACCUCUUUUCUGUGAGUUCAGGUGUCUAUUGCCGCAUUUCUGUCUUUUUAUCUAUUAGAAUGCCGCGGGUGAAAACUAUGCCUUCGAAACUACUAGCCAUAUCAGUGGAAACUGAAUUCAUGUCAAUCAUUCUGCAUGCUCAUUCAACCCAUGUUUCCAUCGAAUGUGUCAGCUACAGAGAAAAACUAUCCUAGUGAUCUAAUUUCUCGGAAAUUUGUACAUUGAACUCUGAGUUUCAGUGCAGGUAGCAGAAUAGAAGUUCUACUUUCCUAAGAGGCUCUUUAGAUGCUGGAAUUUAUUUCUAUUGAAAAGAGUCAGCUGUCUGCGCGAGUCACCUUCCUUCUUCUAGGCUCCGAGUAACCUUCUUCUAAGCUCCGCUGGACGACACGGCAUUCUCGUUCUAUAGGCCGGCAACUGAUUCUUUCCUGAUGUCAUGACUGUUUAAAAUCCACGAAGAAUUAAAAUUCUCAAACA